Molecule: unclassified non-coding RNA, 330 nt
Filed under: soil metagenome
Description: partial contains 5.8S ribosomal RNA, internal transcribed spacer 2, and large subunit ribosomal RNA
Rfam family: 5.8S ribosomal RNA (bases 2-119)
Source: RNAcentral
GUGAAGAACGUAGCGAAAUGCGAUAAGUAAUGUGAAUUGCAGAAUUCAGUGAAUCAUCGAAUCUUUGAACGCACAUUGCGCCCGCCAGUAUUCUGGCGGGCAUGCCUGUUCGAGCGUCAUUUCAACCAUCAAGCCCCAGGCUUGUGUUGGGGGCCUGCAGCUGCUGCAGCCCCCUAAAAGCAGUGGCGGACUCGCUGUCAUACCGAGCGCAGUAGUUACAUCUCGCUCUGGGCAUGGCGGCGGGCACCUGCCGUAAAACACUCUUUCUAAGGUUGACCUCGGAUCAGGUAGGAAUACCCGCUGAACUUAAGCAUAUCAAUAAGCGGAGGA